UACCCCGGGGCGCGGCCAUGGAGGUGGUGGGCGACUUCGAGUACAGCAAGCGGGACCUCGUGGGACACGGGGCCUUCGCCGUGGUCUUCCGGGGGCGGCACCGCCAGAAAACUGAUUGGGAGGUAGCUAUUAAAAGUAUUAAUAAAAAGAACCUGUCAAAAUCACAAAUACUGCUUGGGAAGGAAAUUAAAAUCUUAAAGGAACUUCAGCAUGAAAACAUUGUAGCACUCUAUGAUGUUCAGGAAUUACCCAACUCUGUGUUUCUGGUGAUGGAGUAUUGCAAUGGUGGAGACCUGGCAGAUUAUUUGCAAGCUAAGGGCACACUCAGCGAGGACACCAUCAGAGUGUUUCUGCAUCAGAUCGCAGCUGCCAUGCGCAUUCUGCACAGCAAGGGCAUCAUCCACAGGGACCUCAAGCCCCAGAACAUCCUGCUGUCCUACGCCAGUCGCAGGAAGUCCAGUGUCAGUGGUAUUCGCAUCAAAAUAGCUGAUUUUGGUUUUGCUCGUUACUUGCAUAGUAACAUGAUGGCUGCCACGCUGUGCGGGUCCCCAAUGUACAUGGCUCCUGAGGUUAUCAUGUCUCAACAUUAUGAUGCCAAGGCUGACUUGUGGAGCAUCGGGACAGUGAUAUAUCAGUGCCUCGUUGGAAAGCCACCUUUUCAGGCUAAUAGUCCUCAAGACCUAAGGAUGUUUUAUGAAAAAAACAGGAACUUAAUGCCUAGCAUUCCCAGAGAAACAUCACCUUAUUUGGCUAAUCUUCUUUUGGGUUUGCUUCAGAGAAACCAAAAAGAUAGAAUGGACUUUGAAGCAUUUUUCAGCCAUCCUUUCCUUGAGCAAGUUCCAGUAAAAAAAUCCUGCCCAGUCCCGGUGCCCGUGUACGCCGGCUCUGCCUCUGGAGGCUCCUAUGGCAGCUCUCCGUCCUGUCGUUUCGCCUCUCCACCGUCCCUUCCAGAUAUGCAGCAUAUUCAGGAAGAAAACUUAUCCUCCCCACCAUUGGGUCCUCCCAACUAUCUCCAGGUGUCCAAAGAUUCUGCCAGUACUAGUAGCAAGAACUCUUCUUGUGACACGGAUGACUUUGUUUUGGUUCCACACAACAUCUCGUCAGACCACUCAUAUGAUAUGCCAAUGGGAACUGCUGGCAGACGUGCUUCUAAUGAGUUCUUGGUGUGUGGAGGGCAGUGCCAGCCCUCCGUAUCCCCACACAGCGCAGCUGCCCCCAUUCCCGUCCCCACCCAGGUGAGGAAUUACCAGCGCAUAGAGCAGAACCUCACCUCCACUGCUGGCUCCAGCACAAAUCUACAUGGCUCUCCACGAUCUGCAGCGGUACGAAGGUCUAACACCAGCCCUCUGGGCUUCCUCCGUCCGGGAUCUUGCUCCCCAGCGCCAGCAGAUGCAGUUCCGGCCAUAGGACGAAGACUCUCCACUGGCUCUUCCAGGCCUUACUCACCUUCCCCUCUGGUGGGCACCAUUCCUGAGCAGUUCCGUCAGUGCUGCUGCGGGCAUCUUCAGGGUCACGAAUCCAGGAGUAGGAACUCAUCAGGUUCUCCCGUGCCGCAGGCCCAGUCACCACAGCCUCUCCUGUUGGGCGCUAGACUGCAGAGCGCUCCCACCCUCACCGACAUCUACCAGAACAAGCAGAAGCUCAGAAAACAGCACUCUGACCCCGUGUGCCCAUCCCAGGCCGGGGCAGGCUACAGCUGCUCUCCCCAGCCCAGCCGGCCUGGCAGCCUCGGGACCUCCCCCACCAAGCACAGCGGGUCCUCCCCGCGGAGCUCGGACUGGCUCUUCAGAACUCCGUUACCAACCAUCAUUGGCUCUCCUACUAAGGCCACGGCUCCUUUCAAAAUUCCCAAAACGCAAGCAUCUUCCAACCUUCUCGCCUUGGCCACUCGCCAUGGGCCUUCCGAGGGGCAGCCGAAAGACGGGAACAACCCAAGGAAAUGCACUCACUGUGUCUUGGUUCAAGGAGGGGAGAGGCAGAAGUCCGAGCAUCAGGUCAAGGCAGCGUUUGGCAGGUCCAUCAGUACUGGGAAAUUAUCAGAUCAACAAGUAAAAACACCUUUUGGUGGACAUCAAGGCAGCACGGACAGUUUAAAUACAGAACGACCAAUGGAUACAGCCCCUGCAGGAGCCUGUGGUGUGGCCCUGGCCCCUCCUGUAGGAGCAGCAGCCAGCCCCAGGGCCGUGGUGUUCACGGUGGGGUCUCCCCCACACAGGGCCGCAGCCACCACGCGUGCCCCCGUGGGCCUUCGGAUAAGAACCGCCUCAGGGGGCUCUAGCGGCUCCGGGGGCUCUCUGUGCUCCAUCGGUGGCCAUGUGUGUGGGGGUUCCCCACCUGGGCUGUGCUCAGGGUCUCCCCCUCCGGGAGCAGAAGCGGCCCCCAGCCUGAGACAUGUGCCUUGUGGUGCUUCACCCCCCAGCCUGGAGGGUCUCGUAACCUUUGAAGCCCCCGAACUGCCAGAGGAAACGCUGAUGGAGGUGGGAAGAGACCCUACAAUACAAGUUGGCUUUGCCUUAGCAAGAACAUGCAGACACCUUACGCCACCUGAACUCAAUGCUGCUGUUCACGGAGUGUGUGCUGGACCUGACAGCUAUGCGCGGGGGGAGCCCGGAGCUCUGCGCAUCGGCCGUCUCCGUGUACCAGAUCCAGGAGAGUGCGGUGGUGGACCAGAUCAGCCAGCUGAGCAAGGACUGGGGGCGAGUAGAGCAGCUCGUGUUGCACAUGAAAGCUGCACAACUCCUAGCAGCCUCUCUGCAUCUCGCCAAAGAGCAGAUCAAAUCCGGGAAGCUGAGCCCGUCCUCGGGUGUGAAGCAAGUUGUCAAAAAUCUGAAUGAACGAUAUAAAUUCUGCAUUAGCAUGUGCAAGAAAUUGACAGAAAAGCUGAAUCGCUUCUUCUCUGACAAACAGAGAUUUAUUGAUGAAAUCAACAGCGUAACUGCAGAGAAACUCAUCUAUAACUGUGCUGUAGAAAUGGUUCAAGCCGCAGCCUUGGAUGAAAUGUUUCAGCAGACUGAAGAUAUUGUUUAUCGCUAUCAUAAGGCAGCCCUUCUUCUGGAGGGCUUAACUAAGAUUCUUCAGGACCCGGCAGACAUUGAAAACAUCCACAGAUAUAAAUCUAGUAUUGAAAGAAGAUUGUCAGCACUCUGCUAUAGCACCUCAGCCUUGUGAGCAGCAGCAGGCCUGCCCCCGGGACCAGCGGUGGGUGUCAGGUGAUGCCGUUGGGAGCACAGCUUGGGUCCUGUCGGUCCACUCUUACAUGGUGACUACCAAAGAGCACGCAGUGGUUUCACAAAGGAAAACCAAUCCCAGAACUACAUAUUGUAGGAGGUCUUCCUUAUCAGAGAAGUCACCCCUUCCCUUUCUCUUUAUAGAAGCAGAUGCAAAAGUGUUCCACUGGGCUUUCGGUUUGAUUUUGGUAAAUAAAUGUACCUUAGAACUAGAAUCACCAGUAUGGUUACUGUUAAGGAGAGUUAGCAUUAAGUGAUGAGUGGCUCUUUGUACUAGCCACCAGAGCACAGUGUGGGACUCCUUGUAUUCACCAAGGAGUGGAAAUAAAAAGCCCCAUCUCCUCCGGCAGUUCAGUUCUCGGGGUGAGUUUGUCUGAGUCUGAGCACGCACCCAUAAACAGCUCAGGAAGAAAUAACUUAAGAAGGAGUGAAAGAUGACUCUUGGAAGAUAUUGUGAAAUCUUCAAUUUGAGCUAACGUGGACAUAUAUUAAUAAUCUUCCAAAAUCUUUCAUAUUGCACUAAUUUAUUAAAACAACUGUAUUGGAUUUUGCAAUUUAAAGCUAACUGAGGCACAAUGGACUUGUUUAAAGUAUUUUACUUGAUUAUAUAUGCGUACCCUUUCCAGAAUUCACAUGUAAUCUCUUGUGGACUUUUCAGUGGUAAAGACUUGUGUUUUAUGAGCCUCUGCAUUUUCUUAACCUAUUCAUCUACGCCUAUAGGUUUUCUCUCGCUGAUUUUUUUAAGUUGCUGGUUGUCUGCUUUAGUUUGCAUUUUUUACUCUGCAUGCAUAAUGUGUAUUCAUGCCUGUGACCGCUAGGUUUAUUCGGGCAGCAUUAGAACAAGUGGCAGGCCAGAGAUACACUCAAGAAUUGCGGUAGGGCCAAAACAGAGCUGGUGACCUCUAGGCUUUUUAGUGAUGUGGAGUUUUACAUGAAGUCAGUGAAAAAUGAGGUUUGUUUUCUCUUAGGAUAAGGGGCGGCUCUCUCCAGCCUGCGUGCAUUUUCCUGUUAAUCCUGGCAGUCCACCAGGGAGCUAGUCACGGAGAAUGUGGGCCCUUAACGUCCCUCCAGAAACGGUGCCCACGUGGUCGAUGAUUUGGUUUCUUUGACUUACGUGCUUGGAUACUUGAACAAACCAUUCUCCAGUUUUAAUCCUUUAGAUGAUGUCAUCUGAACUUGGACAAAUUGCACAGAAGCUCUUUGGCAUUAAUCUAAUUUAGUGUACUGAUAAAAACAAAAAGGUUUUCCUUUACUUUGACGAAGUAAUGUAAUUUUUACCUUAUUUAUCUGUAUAAAAUCCCAGCAGUUAAUUUGAACAUUUAUUUAUAUGAUGUUUGUAUUUUUAGGUCUUUAAUACAGUGUUUCUACCUCUCAUUUGUAACUGCAUGCAUUACCCAUGAAACUAGAUAAAACUCACUGAAUUGUGUAAUAGCCUUUUUAUUAUUGCCUGUACAGAUGUAUACUAAGAUAAAUAAAACUGACCAGGUGUUUCUAGGACAAGGCUGGGUCCCUGUGACGUGGCUUGUCAGACCAACUCCUUCCUCAGUGAGUUUGGAGGCUGGGUGGUUAACGCACAUUGCCCCAGGACUUCAGGUUGUGGUGACAGUCCUGCAGGCUAUGGGAGGAGGGCUGUGCUGGGGUUCCCCCCUCCCCCAGCAGGGUGACAAGCACCAUUACCGGUGAUGGUCUAGUUUGUACCACUGUUUUGAGUGUAAAGGGCAGUUUCUUGUAUGUUCUCUCAGUUACCACAUGGGUCAUCUCAGUUGAUCCUCCAAAGGGGGUGGGUGCAUUCUGGCCCCUCCUCCCCUUUCCCAUUUGUUUUAAACACAGGAUGGAAUGAGUUCACAGUGAGGAAAUGGCUUGGUCUGCCGUCAGUACCUAGGGAGUGGUCUCCAAGUGCAUUCUUCUUCUUGUGCGAGAAAGGUCAGGUGGUAUGUGGUGUAUGUGUGAAACCCUGCGGUCUGAACAGCAGAAAACAAACUGUAAAUGCAGGAAUAAUGAUUCUGAUUAUAUUUCCAUUAUCAAGGCCAGUUGAUUUAAGAGAUUUUGCCUUGAUUAUAGCAAUAAUAAACAAAUGCUUUAUGUUUC
This is a non-coding RNA of Odocoileus virginianus texanus, 5315 nucleotides long. NCBI's taxonomy places the organism in Eukaryota, Metazoa, Chordata, Mammalia, Artiodactyla, Cervidae. The record is from RefSeq and is a predicted model, not a curated record.